RNAcentral lists this ribosomal RNA (512 nucleotides) under uncultured Anaerobranca sp. RNAcentral describes it as "bacterial SSU rRNA". It matches the Rfam family "Bacterial small subunit ribosomal RNA", at positions 8 to 526 of the family's 1533-position model. Lineage: Bacteria; Bacillati; Bacillota; Clostridia; Eubacteriales; Proteinivoracaceae. The record is from RNAcentral.
AGAGUUUGAUCCUGGCUCAGGACGAACGCUGGCGGCAUGCCUCACACAUGCAAGUCGAACGAAGUUUUUUAGAAAGCUUGCUUUCUAAAAAACUUAGUGGCGGACGGGUGAGUAACACGUGGGCAACCUGCCCUACAGAUUGGGAUACCAUCGGGAAACUGAUGUUAAUACCGGAUACGUUCUAAGGAUCGCCUGAUUCUUAGAAGAAAGAUUUUAUCGCUGUAGGAUGGGCCCGCGGUCCACUAGCUAGUUGGUAGGGUAACGGCCUACCAAGGCGACGAUGGAUAGCUGGUCUGAGAGGACGAUCAGCCACACUGGGACUGAGACACGGCCCAGACUCCUACGGGAGGCAGCAGUGGGGAAUAUUGCGCAAUGGGGGUAACCCUGACGCAGCAAUGCCGCGUGAAGGAUGAAGGCUUCCGGGUCGUAAACUUCUGUCUAGAGGGAUGAAUUUUUGACAGUACCUCUGGAGGAAGCCCCGGCUAACUACGUGCCAGCCGCCGCGGUAAUAC